AUACAUUCAUUUUAUUUCUAUCGAAUGGCGUAGGUGCAUAGAGGACCGGGGUUCGAUCCCGGGGGUAAAGUACAGCCGGAGCGUGAUCCUGACCACUCACCCCCAUCUAGUGCCGAGAUCAAGAAUGAGUAGAUUAAAAAAAGAAACAAUUGUGUAGGUGGGGAAAUCCUAAGCACACCGCACGUUGUGAGCCUUGCUUCAUGGUUCGAAGUCACCUAUCUUCCCCUCUCUACGUUCUUUGGAGCCGCUGGCUUCAAGGCCCUGUUGAACCAGCAUGGCAGACAGUCUGUGUGUGUCCGCCGGGCAGAGAAGGUCGGGGAGGUUGAGAUUGUGGAUCUCCUACAGAACAUGGACGUUCCUUUUCUAAACGGCCGAGGGCAGUGUUGGAUUUAUACGCGUUGGAUCGUGAAUUAUCUAUCUGUCUGGUUGCCGGUUAAGCAAAGGUUAGACGUCCUUGGCACCGCGUCUUAGGCGAGUGGUUUCCGCGGUUAUCCACCCUCUCGUCGUAAUUGAAACGACUUGAGGGAGGAGCCUCUGCCCGAUGGACACACACACACACACAGACCCCUCAAGGAGACAGGCGAGAUGUUUCCAGUUUGUAAUCAAGGAACUAUGUGACACGUAACUUCUUUACUGUGUUGGUUGCGUGUCUAAUUAUGGUUACAUCUGUUCACCUGGGCGAUGGACUCCGUGGCGUGCGGAUGGCGUCUCUCCAUGCCUUGUUAAUCCCGUGGGAGAAGUCCGACAAGUACGUUGAUUUACAAGACUGGAGCUACGACGGUUUUAAUAUGUUCUGAUGACGGCCCGACAAUAGCCUUGAAGAACUGUCUACAGAAACGUGUGGACUAGUCUCCGUUGUCUCGGAAGUCGACGCUACGACUUCCUGGAGUCUGUCGAAUCAGUGGCAGUUCAUCUGACAUCGAACUCUCGCUGUUGCCAGUUACAUCUGAUUGUUAAGAUGAUUUCUGAGAGGACUUACAUCGCACUGUGCCAUCUCUUCAUUUAAGACCAACGUGUAUGGUCAACCGAAGGCAGACCGGAAGUCACCUGCGAUCCAAUACACCAUUUUUUUAAUAUAUAUAUAUAUAUAUAUAUAUUUCUUUAUAUAUAUUUUAGUAAUUUUUUUUUUGGGAGAGUAUUUAUUUUGUAUUUUUGGGGUCAACCCCAGUAAUAAUCCUGUGACCGUACCACCUCCCGACCUCUGGAGUUAUUUUAAUCUUUUCACGUCGCCAGUAGGGCGCAGUUGUCUGUAUAAUUUUUAAAGUGAUCACCCUGUAUGAUUCUAGUCACUAAAAAAAUAACAUGCUUCAGGUCACAAGCAUUAAAGCUUGAAGAUUGCGCGCUGUGACCGAAUCAUUUACAACUAAACAUCAGCUACACUUAUAAAUUGACAAUUUAUUAUCUGUAGUCCAGAUUUAAUUUCUUAUUCACUCAAAAUUGGUGGGAGACAGAAUAACGAUACAACAACGCCGCGUGAGAAAUAUCUUCGUACUAUAGGCCAAUGCCCUCAUCUCAGAAACAGAGGUGUUGCGCAUGCGUAAAUGACUUGCCUAUCGGGCUGCCUACGUCACAGGGACAAUCUCGCGUACAGUCCGCCUAAACUGCUUUUCCUAGCAUACUACAGGACGUUACAAAAUCCGCGAAACACGAAAUUUUUUCGGUAAAGAUUUUAUUUCAACGCAGGCUGUGAUCAGAUAAUUUUAUUUCGAGCGUAUUAAUUUAUAAUUUCAUUCUCUUUAGCCAUGUUGCCUUACUCCGCCUACUUAUGAAGACGUUGUUGCCACAUUUAUCAUGAACGGAUCUUGACGGUGUUGCCACAAAAUAUCAGAUUUUAUGUAAUUCGAAAGUCCGUCUACCCAAACCCUCUCUCUGACAAUUCAUAUUAUUUAAGAUCUGUAUUUAAGAAAUGGAAAAUGUUAACAGAAGAAUCUACUUAUACUUCUUAUGGCCAAAAACAACAGAUCAAAUGAGGCGGGUUAAACAUCAAACUCUGAAACGUUUUACUACACCAGUGUUUCUCAAACCGUGAUCCGCGAAACUCUGUAUUUUAAUGGAAUAAUCUCAACCCAUACCGAAUACUGGCUAAUUGAUAAUUAAUUCAUUUAAAAAUUUCAAAUAUACGACUUGGAUCAAAAUGGCGUUGACCGUUUAUCAAUAUUAGUGACAGAAAACUCAAGAAACAUUUAAAUGUGUAGCGUUCUUAUUUAUUAAAAAUCGUUUUACAGUCA
Non-coding RNA from Zootermopsis nevadensis, 2228 nucleotides. The record is from RefSeq and is a predicted model, not a curated record. NCBI's taxonomy places the organism in Eukaryota, Metazoa, Arthropoda, Insecta, Blattodea, Termopsidae.